GCGAACCUGGCGUAAUUGGUAGCCGCGCUGGAUUUAGGUUCCAGUACCGCAAGGUGUCCGGGUUCGAGUCCCGGGGUUCGCACGA
RNAcentral lists this transfer RNA (85 nucleotides) under Myxococcales bacterium FL481. RNAcentral's name for it is "tRNA-Leu". It matches the Rfam family "tRNA". Rfam says of the family: Transfer RNA (tRNA) molecules are approximately 80 nucleotides in length. The record is from RNAcentral. Lineage: Bacteria; Pseudomonadati; Myxococcota; Myxococcia; Myxococcales.